UACGUAGGGUGCGAGCGUUAAUCGGAAUUACUGGGCGUAAAGCGUGCGCAGGCGGUUUUUGUAAGUUUGUCGUGAAAUCCCCGGGCUUAACCUGGGAAUGGCCAUGGAAACUGGCGAACUGGAGUGUGGCAGAGGGGGGUGGAAUUCCGCGUGUAGCAGUGAAAUGCGUAGAGAUGCGGAGGAACACCGAUGCGAAGGCAGCCCCCUGGGCUAGCACUGACGCUCAGGCACGAAAGCGUGGGGAGCAAACAGG
This 253-nucleotide ribosomal RNA is filed under the name uncultured bacterium. RNAcentral describes it as "partial 16S ribosomal RNA". It matches the Rfam family "Bacterial small subunit ribosomal RNA", at positions 524 to 776 of the family's 1533-position model. The record is from RNAcentral.